This 418-nucleotide ribosomal RNA is filed under the name uncultured Erythrobacteraceae bacterium. RNAcentral describes it as "bacterial SSU rRNA". It matches the Rfam family "Bacterial small subunit ribosomal RNA", at positions 60 to 526 of the family's 1533-position model. Lineage: Bacteria; Pseudomonadati; Pseudomonadota; Alphaproteobacteria; Sphingomonadales; Erythrobacteraceae. The record is from RNAcentral.
AGUCGAACGCCCUCUUCGGAGGGAGUGGCGCACGGGUGCGUAACGCGUGGGAACCUGCCUUUAGGUUCGGAAUAACUCAGAGAAAUUUGAGCUAAUACCGGAUAGUCUUCGGACCAAAGAUUUAUCGCCUUUAGAUGGGCCCGCGUUGGAUUAGCUAGUUGGUGGGGUAAAGGCCUACCAAGGCGACGAUCCAUAGCUGGUCUGAGAGGAUGAUCAGCCACACUGGGACUGAGACACGGCCCAGACUCCUACGGGAGGCAGCAGUGGGGAAUAUUGGACAAUGGGCGAAAGCCUGAUCCAGCAAUGCCGCGUGAGUGAUGAAGGCCUUAGGGUUGUAAAGCUCUUUUACCAGGGAUGAUAAUGACAGUACCUGGAGAAUAAGCUCCGGCUAACUCCGUGCCAGCAGCCGCGGUAAUAC